UACAAAAUCGAUUGAAGUUCU
Molecule: non-coding RNA, 21 nt
Organism: Caenorhabditis elegans
Lineage: Eukaryota; Metazoa; Nematoda; Chromadorea; Rhabditida; Rhabditidae
Source: Ensembl